This 439-nucleotide ribosomal RNA is filed under the name uncultured marine eukaryote. Its description in RNAcentral is "partial 18S ribosomal RNA". The record is from RNAcentral.
UUUGAAAUUACUUGCUACCUGGGUUACCGCGGUAAUUCUAGAGCUAAUACUGCGGAACAGACCCCAAUUUCGGGGAAGGGUUUUUUUUAUUAAAAAAAGAAACCCUCCGGCUUGCCCGGUGAUUCGGUGAUUGAAGGUUCUCGAACCAAUUGUGUGCUGGCCAGCCUUUGAUUCUUUCAAUGCCCGGACCUACGUCCUUGGAUGGAAAGAUGCCUGCCAUGGUUGCAACUUUGAACUGAAAAAAAAAUAUGGAUCCCUGACAGAGAGCCUGACAAACAGCUCGGCUACCAUCGAAGGGAAGGGCACGCAAAUUACCCAUACCCUACACUGACAGGUAGAGACAAUGAAUAAAAAUACCAGGCCCUUUUUUUUUGUCUUUUAAUUGGAAUACAAUUUAUUUCCCUUACCGUUCAACUAUUGAUUGGAAGGUCUGGUUGGU